GGCUCUCAAGAAGAGUCGUUCACGCCUGAGCCAGAAAGUCGUCGGUGCCAGGGAUCCCUGCUCCCCGGGUCGCCCUCCCGAGGAGACCUUCCUGACUCAAGGACUGAACCCAAGUCUCACGUCUUCCGCACUGGCACCAGCCAGUCACGGCAUGACCUGCAUCACCAGCUGACUCCUGCGCUGGUCACUGCACGGCCACUAGCACCACCUGGGAAGCCCCAGUAAGUGUAUUCUAUUUCAGUAAAAAAGAAAAAUAGGUACUUUAAUAUAUUUAACUUAUAUUUAAAUAUAUUUAAUAUAUUAGUUAACUGACUGGUAAUCUGCUCCACUGUGUGUAUAUGUGAGUGUGUUUGUAUUUUCAUUGCCAUUUUACAGAAGGGGAAACUCAGGCUCUGGAAAGGGAAGUGAUUCAGAGGCUGUUACGAGAAUUAACCAUAAAUAGCUAAUGUUUGUGGAGCCUAAACUGCUUGGUCUAGGGUAUCUUUCUGACAGUCCCAUGACUUUCAACUCAUUUUGUAGGCAAGAAAAACAGGCUUUGCUGAAG
RNAcentral lists this long non-coding RNA (544 nucleotides) under Capra hircus (goat). Its description in RNAcentral is "lncRNA (ENSCHIG00010025118.1)". Lineage: Eukaryota; Metazoa; Chordata; Mammalia; Artiodactyla; Bovidae. The record is from RNAcentral.